AAGAAUUAUGGUUUGCUUUGUCUUUAUCAUUUUACAGGACCCUGGUAAUAGUAUAUGGAUUGUGUUGGAGAUAAAAGAUUGUACAAAUAUUGGAUGAAAUAUCUCCCUAGCAAACAGUCCUGUUGUGACAUUCUUUACUUAUCAAGAGAAGUUAUGCAAUUUAAUAACCCAUGGAGGAGACCAACUGAAUUCUAUAGAUGCUGAAGGAAGAUGGGGAGCCAGAAGAAAAGGAAGAAUGAUUUCUUUAGUAAGCUUCAGUGAGAGCCCACCUUAAAGCAUGUAAGGAAGCUAUGAACUUGCUGGGCGUAGACCUCAGAGGAGAAACAAGGGCAAGCCAUGAAAGCAUGCUAAGUGAGACAAAAGAAAUGUGAAAGUGCUUGAGAUGGUUUAUGGCAAAGGGAGCUUGAUGAGCUUGAUGAGCUUGAUGAGAGGCUGCUGCAAAAAGAAGCAGAUAGUUUCUUCUCUGUGUUGUGUUCAUAAUGGAGAAAGCAAGAGACAGGGAUUUAAACUGAAGCUGAUUUAAGUCAGGUAGCAGCAGAUAGCUUGAACAAGGUUCAGAAAACUAAAAGAUGGAAUAAACUGCUUCAAUUUGUUGUGGAGAUGGUUCCU
Molecule: long non-coding RNA, 609 nt
Filed under: Anser brachyrhynchus (Pink-footed goose)
Lineage: Eukaryota; Metazoa; Chordata; Aves; Anseriformes; Anatidae
Description: lncRNA (ENSABRG00000005000.1)
Source: RNAcentral